CGCGUAGGCGGAAUGGCAAGUCGGUCGUGAAAUCCUUCGGCUCAACCGAAGAACGUCGAUCGAAACUGCCGUUCUUGAGGAUUGCAGAGGAGACUGGAAUUCCCGGUGUAGAGGUGAAAUGUGUAGAGAUCGGGAGGAACACCGGUGGCGAAGGCGGGUCUCUGGGCAAUUCCUGACGCUGAGGCGCGAAAGCGUGGGGAGCAAACGG
RNAcentral lists this ribosomal RNA (208 nucleotides) under uncultured bacterium. RNAcentral describes it as "partial 16S ribosomal RNA". It matches the Rfam family "Bacterial small subunit ribosomal RNA", at positions 568 to 775 of the family's 1533-position model. The record is from RNAcentral.